UUACCUUACUAUAGCACAUGCCUCCUGUCUGCCCGUGCUCCUCAUCUGCUUUUCACAGACUUGCCCAGGGCAAGUCGGUGAAAAGCAGAUGAGGAGCACAGGCAGACAGGAGGCAUACUUCCAC
RNAcentral lists this microRNA precursor (124 nucleotides) under Pelobates cultripes (western spadefoot toad). Lineage: Eukaryota; Metazoa; Chordata; Amphibia; Anura; Pelobatidae. The record is from RNAcentral.